RNAcentral lists this ribosomal RNA (1414 nucleotides) under uncultured bacterium. RNAcentral's name for it is "bacterial SSU rRNA". It matches the Rfam family "Bacterial small subunit ribosomal RNA". The record is from RNAcentral.
AGAGUUUGAUCCUGGCUCAGGACGAACGCUGGCGGCGUGCCUAACACAUGCAAGUCGAACGGGGAUUUUGUUUCGGCAGAAUCCUAGUGGCGAACGGGUGAGUAACGCGUAGGCAACCUGCCCUCCGGCCGGGGACAACACUCCGAAAGGGGUGCUAAUACCGGAUACGAAGUCUGUGCCGCAUGGUACGGAUUUGAAAGAUGGCCUCUGUUUACAAGCUAUCGCCGGGGGAUGGGCCUGCGUCCGAUUAGCUGGUUGGUGGGGUAACGGCCUACCAAGGCGACGAUCGGUAGCCGGUCUGAGAGGAUGAACGGCCACAUUGGGACUGAGACACGGCCCAGACUCCUACGGGAGGCAGCAGUGGGGAAUCUUCCGCAAUGGGCGCAAGCCUGACGGAGCAACGCCGCGUGAGUGAGGAAGCUCUUCGGAACGUAAAGCUCUGUUGUUCCUGACGAACCUCCCUUCUAUCAACAACGGAAGGGACUGACGGUAGGGAACGAGGAAGCCACGGCUAACUACGUGCCAGCAGCCGCGGUAAUACGUAGGUGGCAAGCGUUGUCCGGAAUUAUUGGGCGUAAAGCGCAUGUAGGCGGUAAUUUAAGUCUGUCGUGAAACUGCGGGGCUCAGCCCCGUAUGGCGAUGGAAACUGGGUUACUUGAGUGCAGGAGAGGAAAGGGGAACUCCCAGUGUAGCGGUGAAAUGCGUAGAUAUUGGGAAGAACACCGGUGGCGAAGGCGCCUUUCUGGACUGUGUCUGACGCUCAGGCACGAAAGCGUGGGGAGCAAAUAGGAUUAGAUACCCUGGUAGUCCACGCCCUAAACGAUGUCAACUAAAUGUUUGGUAGUGUAAAGAGCUAUCAGUAUUGUAGCUAACGCGUGAAGUUGACCGCCUGGGGAGUACGGUCGCAAGAUUAAAACUCAAAGGAAUUGACGGGGACCCGCACAAGCGGUGGAUGAUGUGGAUUAGUUCGAUGCAACGCGAAAAACCUUACCUACCCUUGACAUACAGGGAAUUUUGCAGAGAUGCGAAAGUGCCGCAAGGAAUCCUGAUACAGGUGCUGCAUGGCUGUCGUCAGCUCGUGUCGUGAGAUGUUGGGUUAAGUUCCGCAACGAGCGCAACCCUUAUCGUUAGUUGCCCUUAUUCAGUUAGGCACUCUAAUGAGACUGCCGGUGAUAAACCGGAGGAAGGUGGGGAUGACGUCAAGUCCUCAUGGCCCUUAUGGGUAGGGCUUCACACGUCAUACAAUGGUUGGUACAGAGGGAAGCCAAGUCGCAAGAUGGAGCAAAUCUCACAAAGCCAAUCGUAGUCCGGAUUGGAGUCUGCAACUCGACUCUAUGAAGUCGGAAUCGCUAGUAAUCGCGGAUCAGAAUGUCGCGGUGAAUACGUUCCCGGGUCUUGCACACACCGCCCGUCA